UGGCGGACGGGUGAGUAACACGUGGGCAAUCUACCUUUCGGGUGAGGAAUACCGGCGAGAAAUCGCCGACAAUACCGCAUACGCUCGGGUAACCGAGCAAAGUCGCAAGACGCCGGAGGAGGAGCCUGCGCCCGAUUAGCUAGUUGGUGGAGUAAUGGUCUACCAAAGCGAAGAUCGGUAGCCGGCCUGAGAGGGCGCACGGCCACACUGGAACUGAGACACGGUCCAG
This 229-nucleotide ribosomal RNA is filed under the name uncultured bacterium. RNAcentral describes it as "partial 16S ribosomal RNA". It matches the Rfam family "Bacterial small subunit ribosomal RNA", at positions 96 to 334 of the family's 1533-position model. The record is from RNAcentral.